Molecule: ribosomal RNA, 397 nt
Filed under: uncultured Tsukamurella sp.
Lineage: Bacteria; Bacillati; Actinomycetota; Actinomycetes; Mycobacteriales; Tsukamurellaceae
Description: bacterial SSU rRNA
Rfam family: Bacterial small subunit ribosomal RNA
Source: RNAcentral
AACGCGAAGAACCUUACCUGGGCUUGACAUAUAGAGGAUCGCUACAGAGAUGUGGUUUCCCUUGUGGCUUCUAUACAGGUGGUGCAAGGUUGUCGUCAGCUCGUGUCGUGAGAUGUUGGGUUAAGUCCCGCAACGAGCGCAACCCUUGUCUUAUGUUGCCAGCACGUUAUGGUGGGGACUCGUGAGAGACUGCCGGGGUCAACUCGGAGGAAGGUGGGGAUGACGUCAAAUCAUCAUGCCCCUUAUGUCCAGGGCUUCACACAUGCUACAAUGGCCGGUACAGAGGGCUGCGAUGCCGUGAGGCGGUGCGAAUCUCUUAAAGCCGGUCUCAGUUCGGAUUGGGGUCUGCAACUCGACCCCAUGAAGUCGGAGUCGCUAGUAAUCGCAGAUCAGCACG